RNAcentral lists this ribosomal RNA (1324 nucleotides) under Bacteroides sp. RNAcentral's name for it is "bacterial SSU rRNA". It matches the Rfam family "Bacterial small subunit ribosomal RNA", at positions 49 to 1370 of the family's 1533-position model. The record is from RNAcentral. Lineage: Bacteria; Pseudomonadati; Bacteroidota; Bacteroidia; Bacteroidales; Bacteroidaceae.
UUACACAUGCAAGUCGAGGGGCAGCAUAGUCAUAGCAAUAUGACUGAUGGCGACCGGCGCACGGGUGAGUAACACGUAUCCAACCUGCCUGUUACUUGGGGAUAGGCUUUCGAAAGAAAGAUUAAUACCCAAUGGUAUAGUUUUCCCUCCUGGGAUUGCUAUUAAAGAAUUUCGGUAACAGAUGGGGAUGCGUUCCAUUAGAUAGUUGGUGGGGUAACGGCCCACCAAGUCCGCGAUGGAUAGGGGUUCUGAGAGGAAGGUCCCCCACAUUGGAACUGAGACACGGUCCAAACUCCUACGGGAGGCAGCAGUGAGGAAUAUUGGUCAAUGGGCGGUAGCCUGAACCAGCCAAGUAGCGUGAAGGAUGAAGGCUCUAUGGGUCGUAAACUUCUUUUAUAAAGGAAUAAAGUCACCCACGUGUGGGUGUUUGUAUGUACUUUAUGAAUAAGGAUCGGCUAACUCCGUGCCAGCAGCCGCGGUAAUACGGAGGAUCCGAGCGUUAUCCGGAUUUAUUGGGUUUAAAGGGAGCGUAGGUGGAUUAUUAAGUCAGCCUGUGAAAGUUUGCGGCUCAACCGUAAAAUUGCAGUUGAUACUGGUAGUCUUGAGUUAAGUAAAGGUGGGCGGAAUUCGUGGUGUAGCGGUGAAAUGCUUAGAUAUCACGAAGAACUCCGAUUGCGAAGGCAGCUCACUGGACUUCGACUGACACUGAUGCUCGAAAGUGUGGGUAUCAAACAGGAUUAGAUACCCUGGUAGUCCACACAGUAAACGAUGAAUACUCGCUGUUUGCGAUACACAGUAAGCGGCCAAGCGAAAGCGUUAAGUAUUCCACCUGGGGAGUACGCCGGCAACGGUGAAACUCAAAGGAAUUGACGGGGGCCCGCACAAGCGGAGGAACAUGUGGUUUAAUUCGAUGAUACGCGAGGAACCUUACCCGGGCUUAAAUUGCAACUGACAGAUCAGGAAACUGGUCUUCCUUCGGGCAGUUGUGAAGGUGCUGCAUGGUUGUCGUCAGCUCGUGCCGUGAGGUGUCGGCUUAAGUGCCAUAACGAGCGCAACCCUUAUCUUUAGUUACUAACAGGUUAUGCUGAGGACUCUGGAGAGACUGCCGUCGUAAGAUGUGAGGAAGGUGGGGAUGACGUCAAAUCAGCACGGCCCUUACGUCCGGGGCUACACACGUGUUACAAUGGGGGGUACAGAAGGCAGCUACCUGGUGACAGGAUGCUAAUCCCAAAAGCCUCUCUCAGUUCGGAUCGAAGUCUGCAACCCGACUUCGUGAAGCUGGAUUCGCUAGUAAUCGCGCAUCAGCCACGGCGCGGUGAAUACG